AGUGAACGCUGGCGGUAGGCCUAACACAUGCAAGUCGAACGGCAGCACAGUAAGAGCUUGCUCUUACGGGUGGCGAGUGGCGGACGGGUGAGGAAUAUAUCGGAAUCUACUUUUUCGUGGGGGAUAACGUAGGGAAACUUACGCUAAUACCGCAUACGACCUACGGGUGAAAGCAGGGGAUCUUCGGACCUUGCGCGAUUGAAUGAGCCGAUGUCGGAUUAGGUAGUUGGCGGGGUAAAGGCCCACCAAGGCGACGAUCCGUAGCUGGUCUGAGAGGAUGAUCAGCCACACUGGAACUGAGACACGGUCCAGACUCCUACGGGAGGCAGCAGUGGGGAAUAUUGGACAAUGGGCGCAAGCCUGAUCCAGCCAUACCGCGUGGGUGAAGAAGGCCUUCGGGUUGUAAAGCCCUUUUGUUGGGAAAGAAAAGCAGCAGGUUAAUACCCCGCUGUUCUGACGGUACCCAAAGAAUAAGCACCGGCUAACUUCGUG
RNAcentral lists this ribosomal RNA (492 nucleotides) under uncultured bacterium. Its description in RNAcentral is "partial 16S ribosomal RNA". It matches the Rfam family "Bacterial small subunit ribosomal RNA", at positions 29 to 507 of the family's 1533-position model. The record is from RNAcentral.